Molecule: non-coding RNA, 27 nt
Filed under: Homo sapiens (human)
Lineage: Eukaryota; Metazoa; Chordata; Mammalia; Primates; Hominidae
Source: RNAcentral
UGAUACAGCUUGUAUGCCUGGAGCAGU